This 1305-nucleotide long non-coding RNA is filed under the name Phasianus colchicus (ring-necked pheasant). RNAcentral's name for it is "lncRNA (ENSPCLG00000000156.1)". The record is from RNAcentral. Lineage: Eukaryota; Metazoa; Chordata; Aves; Galliformes; Phasianidae.
AUGGUCAGAAUAGCAUUACUGAAGCAGAGGGGAUGGAAAGGGGGGAAAAAAAGUAACCUUUUUGUUUUUGUUACCAGGUGGGGAAUGAAAAUGGCACCUCUAAGCCUUGAAGCAGAGAUCUCUAUCAUGUCAAGAUCUUUCCCUAUUAAGUUCAGUGCAAUCCAGAGGAUUUAUCACUGCCCUUUCCUGCAAAAAGUAUGCUAAAAAAGUUCAGAUGACAUCAGAGGUUCUGCAGGAGUCUUCUCUUUGGAGGAGAAUUCGCUGACCUUACAUAUAUGAUAUAAAAUCUUCCCUGUGUUUGCUAUCGUAAGGAGAAAGAAGAUCUUCAAAAGAGUGCUCCAACUGACUUAGUUAAAAUGGGAUUAAUUGCCUUCAUGAAAGCACCUGUUCUGCAUGGACAGAUCUGAGGAGAUUGGCUGGAAUUAUUCUGCUGAAUUUAGAUAGAUAAAAUUUUCAUCCUCUGCUGUUGUAAGUGAACUUAACUAGAUAAAACAGAAUCUUUGAAAACUUGUCAUUGUGUUGUCCUCCUAGACAUCUUAAUCUUAAAUCUUUACUGUAACUUCAAUUUUAUUUAAUUUGGUUUCUUCUUAAAGUAGUUGCAUAGUUCUGCUUUUCACCUAUUUUCUUUAGGACAAGGAUUUCUCCCUCCACCUCCACUAGGUACUGUAGGUUAUGUCAUGCUGUGGCUAAGGUUUCCCGUCCAGUAGUGCAACACUGAUAUCAGACUUUCUCUUUCAUGGAUCUGGGGUUACCAAUACCAUUUAUUGGUUUAGAGAGUAACUCUUUUCAUUGUUCAGAGCUGUCCACUUUCAGGCAGUUAACUUCAUCCUUUUCAACUGAGUAUGUAUUUUAAAUAUAAUUUUUAACUUCCCAUUUGCACAUCUCAUCUGACCAUGAUACUAGCAUUUGGUUGUGUUGGAGAGAUGGCUGAGAUAACCUCAAACAAACAUGAGUGUAACAAAUACAUCUUAUCUGGAAAAUAACAUUGUCUAAAUAUUAUUUGUGCUUUUCGGUCAAGUUUGUAUCCUGAUUUUGGUGUUAUGAAUAUGAGAUAGAUACUUUUUUGUGGAAGAGACUUGUUGGAAAAUAGGGAAAUUAAGUUUUAAAGAAAAAAUCCCCAACUUUCAGUUAAUAACGCUAUAAGUUUUCCUCAGGUAUUUUUGAGGAACAGUUAAUUUCUAUGUUCAAAUUUUAAUCACUGUGUAUAAAUAUACAACUGGUCAAUCAAAAUAUAUAGCUGAAUGAACACAUAAUGCUUAUAAAUACUGAAAUCCAAAUAAAGCAAGAAGGAAAACUAGAUAAUCA